This 213-nucleotide non-coding RNA is filed under the name Bacillota bacterium. RNAcentral's name for it is "Firmicutes bacterium T-box sequence". It matches the Rfam family "T-box leader". Rfam says of the family: Uncharged tRNA acts as the effector for transcription antitermination of genes in the T-box leader family. T-boxes are found upstream of many aminoacyl-tRNA synthetase genes and some amino acid biosynthetic genes usually in Gram-positive bacteria. The anticodon of a specific tRNA base pairs to a specifier sequence within the T-box motif, and the NCCA acceptor tail of the tRNA base pairs to a conserved bulge in the T-box antiterminator hairpin. Lineage: Bacteria; Bacillati; Bacillota. The record is from RNAcentral.
UUAUAAACAAAGAAAAGAAGUAGUAUAAGCUUAAACUUAUGAAGAGAAGCGAUGGUUGGUGCAAAUCGUUAAGGGAGAGUUUAGAACGUGUCUUGGAGUUUUAUUGUCGAAAGGUUUUGAGGCAAUAACGUGGAUUCGCGUUAAGAAUGAGGUGUCAUCCAUAAAGAAUGGAUGGAAUUAAGGUGGUACCGCGAUGAAGACGUCGUCCUUUUA